CUCUGAGGGCAGGACCCUGCUGGACCCAUUGCUUCUCCUCCUGUCUCUCUCUUCUUGGUUUGCACCCUCUCUGUGCAUUGCCCACACCCCCACUUGGAAGAGCUGAGAUGGCCAGAGAAGGAGCCUUUCACCUUUGCCUCUGGGCACUCCUUGCCUUGCCAGGUGUCAGAGCUGUGAAAGUGGAGACGUUUGUGGAGCUGGACUUCUUCCAGGAGAGCUUCCCGUCGGAGCAGAAGUCCGGGGAGUUCCUGCAGGGCAUGAACGGGGAGGAGUUCUUCCACGUGGACUGGGACAAGAGGCAGAACGUCUGGAGGCUGCCCAACAUCCCCAACUACUUUGGCUUUGACGCGCAGGGCGCUGUGGGCAACAUGGACAUCAUGAAGAACAACAUGGAGGUCCUGAUCAAGCGCAGCAACCGCAGCCAGACCCCCAAUGCUCCUCCUACAGCCACCGUGUUCCCCAAAAACCCUGUGGAAAUGGGGGACCCCAACGUGCUUGUCUGCUUCGUGGACCAGUUCUUCCCCCCAGUGCUGAACAUCACCUGGCUGAAGAACGGGGAGGAGGUUUCCCAGGGCGUGACGGACACAGACUUCUUCCCCAGUGCGGACAACGCCUUCCGCAAGUUCUCCUACCUGGCCUUUGUCCCGCAGCAUGGAGAUGUCUACGUCUGCCAAGUGGAGCACUGGGGCCUCCCUCAGAGCCUGGCCAAGCUGUGGCACUCCAAGGAGCCGACGCUCAUCCCAGAGACGAAGGAGAACGUAGUGUGUGGCCUGGGCUUGGCCAUGGGCCUCCUGGGCAUCAUCGCUGGCACCGUCCUUUUCAUCAAGGCCAGGAGGAUGAACGGCAUCAACCAGCGCAGGGGCCCCCUGUGAGUCCAUUGCUCAGAAGAAGGAAGGCCUCUCCUGCCCAAAAGGCUUUGCCAGAUAAUGGAGGAGCAUCCGGAAGACCAGCUCCUUCCCCCGACAGCCACUCUGCAAAUUGCAGAACUGCGUCUCUCGCUCCGUCCCUUGUCAAGGCUUUGCUCAACCAACCUGGUCCUUGAUGUCGGUCCUGGUCUGCUUCUUUCCAUACCAGGGACCUUUGCACCGCUGAUUCAUGGCUCUUCUGCACUUAGAUGGAAGGGGAAUUAAGACUCCGACUCACCAGGCACAUCCUUUAGUGUUAUUGACAUGGAUUUUAAGAAUAAAACCAUCCUUCUUGGCUUAUUCCAUUAGAUUCAAACAUGGCCUAGGAAAUGAUGACCUUCUGUCUAUCACCUUUUCAGCUGAAACUUUAUGCUUGCAUUUUCCAGGAUAUAUUUAGGAUGUCGUUAGCUAACUUGUGUUCUCUGCUCCUCAAACAGAAAGAUUAGAGAAGGAAUUUAUAUCUACCUGAAAGGGGUGAAUUAUUUCUCUGAGUUAGAAUAAAAACAGAUCAAAGAAGCAGCAGCAAAAAGCUGAAUGGGAGAAGAGGUUUUCUAUUAAGAGAGGUGUGGGACAUUGACAUGUUUCUAAGUUAUGAUUUCUAUAUAGUCAUGAGGAAUCUUAGGAUAUAAGAGUUAGACUCCCAGAUCCGGAGCCAGGUUGCUUAUUAGCACUUCACCUGAUUCUCUUUUCCAGUUCGUAAGUUUGUAAAUGCUGCUUGAAAUUAUCUUUCAUUUAAAGCCCUUUGUAAUCAGUGCUAUGCUUUUGUUUUUGUCUAUGAUUAAGUCUGUAUAUGCUGUACUAAAAGGUAUAUAAAUAAACUAGCAUUUUAAUAUAA
Molecule: RNA transcript, 1740 nt
Organism: Hemicordylus capensis (graceful crag lizard)
Lineage: Eukaryota; Metazoa; Chordata; Lepidosauria; Squamata; Cordylidae
Gene name: RLA class II histocompatibility antigen, DP alpha-1 chain-like
Exons: 5
Source: RefSeq, a predicted model, not a curated record